GACGAACGCUGGCGGCGUGCCUAAUACAUGCAAGUAGAACGCUGAAGGAGGAGCUUGCUUCUCUGGAUGAGUUGCGAACGGGUGAGUAACGCGUAGGUAACCUGCCUGGUAGCGGGGGAUAACUAUUGGAAACGAUAGCUAAUACCGCAUAACAGUAGAUAUCGCAUGAUAUCUACUUGAAAGGUGCAAUUGCAUCACUACCAGAUGGACCUGCGUUGUAUUAGCUAGUUGGUGAGGUAACGGCUCACCAAGGCGACGAUACAUAGCCGACCUGAGAGGGGGAUCGGCCACACUGGGACUGAGACACGGCCCAGACUCCUACGGGAGGCAGCAGUAGGGAAUCUUCGGCAAUGGACGGAAGUCUGACCGAGCAACGCCGCGUGAGUGAAGAAGGUUUUCGGAUCGUAAAGCUCUGUUGUAAGAGAAGAACGAGUGUGAGAGUGGAAAGUUCACACUGUGACGGUAUCUUACCAGAAAGGGACGGCUAACUACGUG
RNAcentral lists this ribosomal RNA (495 nucleotides) under uncultured bacterium. RNAcentral's name for it is "partial 16S ribosomal RNA". It matches the Rfam family "Bacterial small subunit ribosomal RNA", at positions 28 to 507 of the family's 1533-position model. The record is from RNAcentral.